This 392-nucleotide ribosomal RNA is filed under the name uncultured bacterium. RNAcentral's name for it is "partial 16S ribosomal RNA". It matches the Rfam family "Bacterial small subunit ribosomal RNA", at positions 523 to 918 of the family's 1533-position model. The record is from RNAcentral.
AUACGGAGGAUCCGAGCGUUAUCAGGAUUGAUUGGGUUUAAAGGGGGCGCAGGCGGCCAUUUAAGUCAGCGGUUAAAUAGUGGGGCUCAACCCCAUUCUGCCGUUGAUACUGGGUGGCUUGAUUGCGGUCAAGGUUGGCGGAAGUCGUUGUGUAGCGGUGCAAUGCAUAGAUAUGACGAAGAACACCGAUUGCGUAGGCAGCUGACCAGACCGCAAAUGACGCUCAUGCACGAAAGUGCGGGGAUCGAACAGGAUUAGAUACCCUGGUAGUCCGCACAGUAAACGAUGAAUACUUGUUUUCGGCGAUAUAAUGUCGGAGGCAAAGCGAAAGCGAUAAGUAUUCCACCUGGGGAGUACGCCGGCAACGGUGAAACUCAAAUGAAUUGACGGGG